Unclassified non-coding RNA from Cercocebus atys (sooty mangabey), 115 nucleotides. It matches the Rfam family "Y RNA". From Rfam's summary of the family: Y RNAs are components of the Ro ribonucleoprotein particle (Ro RNP), in association with Ro60 and La proteins. The Y RNAs and Ro60 and La proteins are well conserved, but the function of the Ro RNP is not known. Lineage: Eukaryota; Metazoa; Chordata; Mammalia; Primates; Cercopithecidae. The record is from Ensembl.
AACUGGUCUAAAGGUAGUGAGUUAUCUCAUUUGAUUGUUCACAGUUAAUCACAGAUCAAACUGCUUGUUCUACUCUUUCCCCCUUUCUCACUAUUGGGUACUUGACCAGUCAAAA